Molecule: ribosomal RNA, 117 nt
Filed under: uncultured bacterium
Lineage: Bacteria
Description: partial 16S ribosomal RNA
Rfam family: Bacterial small subunit ribosomal RNA
Source: RNAcentral
CGUUCCCGGGCCUUGUACACACCGCCCGUCAAGUCACGAAAGUUGGUAACACCCAAAGCCGGUGGCCUAACCCCUUGUGGGAGGGAGCUGUCGAAGGUGGGACUGGCGAUUGGGACU